This 73-nucleotide transfer RNA is filed under the name Ixodes scapularis (black-legged tick). It matches the Rfam family "tRNA". From Rfam's summary of the family: Transfer RNA (tRNA) molecules are approximately 80 nucleotides in length. Their secondary structure includes four short double-helical elements and three loops (D, anti-codon, and T loops). The record is from Rfam by way of RNAcentral. Lineage: Eukaryota; Metazoa; Arthropoda; Arachnida; Ixodida; Ixodidae.
UCCUGGUUAGCUCAGUUAAUAGAGUGCUCCGCUGGAAAUGGAGAGGUCCCUGGUUUGGUACCAGGGCCAGGCA